RNAcentral lists this ribosomal RNA (406 nucleotides) under uncultured bacterium. RNAcentral's name for it is "partial 16S ribosomal RNA". It matches the Rfam family "Bacterial small subunit ribosomal RNA", at positions 28 to 526 of the family's 1533-position model. The record is from RNAcentral.
GAUGAACGCUGACAGAAUGCUUAACACAUCAGCAAUUGAUUGGUUGCGGACGGGUGAGUAACGCGUAAAGAACUUGCCUCACAGGUAGGGACAACCUUUGGAAACGAAUGCUAAUAACUAAUACUGUGAGAGGGCUUUGCGUCCCAGUAGCUAGUUGGAGAGGUAACGGCUCACCAAGGCGAUGAUGGGUAGCCGGCCUGAGAGGGUGAUCGGCCACAAGGGGAGUGAGACACGGCCCUUACGCCUACGGGGGGAAGCAGUGGGGAUUAUUGGACAAUGGACCAAAGACUGAUCCAGAAAUUCUGUGUGGACGAUGAUGUUUUAGGAAUGUAAAGUGCUUUCAGUUGGGAAGCGGUACCAACAGAAGAAGUGACGGCUAAAUACGUGCCAGCAGCCGCGGUAAUAC